This 1119-nucleotide ribosomal RNA is filed under the name Triticum aestivum (bread wheat). RNAcentral describes it as "partial small subunit ribosomal RNA". The record is from RNAcentral. Lineage: Eukaryota; Viridiplantae; Streptophyta; Magnoliopsida; Poales; Poaceae.
AUGGCCGCCGGCUGGUCCUCCCUCCCCGCCGAUAUUCUCAAUGAGAUCUCGGGUCGCCUGAACACCGACGCAGACCAGCUCCACGCCCACCAGGUAUGCGCCCACUGGCGAGCCUCAAUUUCUCCUCCGGUCGCCUACCGCCCGUGGGUCGUCGCCGCCCGACAGGCCCCCGACGGACUGAGCCCAGUCGGCGAGUACUCCCUCCAGCUCCCUCGCGGCGUCCCGGGCGUCGACUUCAAGGCGGCCCCACCCGGCCUCCCGUACUGCUGCGGCACGCCUCGCGGCUGGCUCGCCCUUGCGGACGAUGUCCGAUCCCCCACGCGGCUCGUGCUGUGGGAGCCCCACUCCGGCACCGAGAUCCCGCUUCCAUGCCUGUCUUCAGUCAUACAGGUCUUCCUUUCCGACGACCCGCUCGAGUCGUCGCACUGGAUGGCCGUCGCGACCCAGCUCAGACGGCCCCGGGCGCAUAUCAUCUUCUUCUGGCGGCCCGGGGACGCCGCCUGGAGCGGCCCGGCCAAGGUUCCUUGUGCAAAACUCCACAGCGUCGAAUUCCACGCGGGGAACAUAUACUGCAUAGACCGCAUGUCUAACCUGUCCAUCUACGAUCUCAAGCUCGGCACAACGUCUCCUCCCGUGCUCCUCGAGUGCUUGGGCAUGUCCCCUAGUCAGUUGUCAGAGUCGUUGGUUACCCGCAUGUCUGUCAAGGAACGCGUGCGUGCAGUGCACGUCGUGGCCUGCCGUGGCGAGCUCCUGCUAGUGCUGCUGUUCCACGGCCGCCACCCGUCCCUCAUGGAAGUCUACAGGCCGUCGUGGACGCUCGGAUGCGCCUUCCAGGUCGGUGAGAGGGUGACUGACCUCGGCGGCUACACGCUCUUCCUCGGCCGUGGCGACGCAGUUGCACUGUCUGCCAAGGAGUACCCUGCGAUCAGGGGGAAUUGCAUUUACUACCUGGUGCACAAUCUCCCCAAGUACAGGAAGCAUUGGGCAAUCGUGUUUGAUCUGGGGACGGGGGAUGUGGACGAUAUACCUUACCCUGAGGUGCACAAGCAGGAGAAUGGUUGCUGGCCAUACUCUUGGUUCUGUCCUCGAAGGCCCUUCCUGAAGAAGCAGUUAGCUUGA